ACCUGGCUGGCUCAGUCAGUAGAGCAUGUGACUCCUGAUCUCAGGGUUGUGGGUUCAAGCCCCACAUUGGGUU
Molecule: non-coding RNA, 73 nt
Organism: Prionailurus viverrinus (fishing cat)
Lineage: Eukaryota; Metazoa; Chordata; Mammalia; Carnivora; Felidae
Source: the annotation of a RefSeq genome assembly